AACGCACAUUGCGCUCGCCAGUAUUCUGGCGAGCAUGCCUGUUCGAGCGUCAUUUCAACCAUCAAGCUCUGCUUGCGUUGGGGAUCCGCGGCUGCCCGCGGUCCCUCAAAAACAGUGGCGGGCUCGCUAGUCACACCGAGCGUAGUAACUCUACAUCGCUAUGGUCGUGCGGCGGGUUCUUGCCGUGAAACCCCCAAUUUCUAAGGUUGACCUCGGAUCAGGUAGGAAUACCCGCUGAACUUAA
This 244-nucleotide unclassified non-coding RNA is filed under the name uncultured Sordariaceae. Its description in RNAcentral is "sequence contains ITS2". The stretch from base 1 to 52 matches the Rfam family "5.8S ribosomal RNA", at positions 103 to 154 of the family's 154-position model. Lineage: Eukaryota; Fungi; Ascomycota; Sordariomycetes; Sordariales. The record is from RNAcentral.